GAUGAACGCCGGCGGUGUGCCUAAUACAUGCAAGUCGUACGCACUGGCCCAAUUGAUGGAUGGUGCUUGCACCUGAUUGACGAUGGAUCACCAGUGAGUGGCGGACGGGUGAGUAACACGUAGGUAACCUGCCCCGGAGCGGGGGAUAACAUUUGGAAACAGAUGCUAAUACCGCAUAACAACAAAAGCCACAUGACUUUUGUUUGAAAGAUGGCUUUGGCUAUCACUCUGGGAUGGACCUGCGGUGCAUUAGCUAGUUGGUAAGGUAACGGCUUACCAAGGCGAUGAUGCAUAGCCGAGUUGAGAGACUGAUCGGCCACAAUGGAACUGAGACACGGUCCAUACUCCUACGGGAGGCAGCAGUAGGGAAUCUUCCACAAUGGGCGCAAGCCUGAUGGAGCAACACCGCGUGAGUGAAGAAGGGUUUCGGCUCGUAAAGCUCUGUUGUUGGAGAAGAACGUGCGUGAGAGUAACUGUUCACGCAGUGACGGUAUCCAACCAGAAAGUCACGGCUAAC
Molecule: ribosomal RNA, 517 nt
Filed under: uncultured bacterium
Lineage: Bacteria
Description: SSU rRNA
Rfam family: Bacterial small subunit ribosomal RNA
Source: RNAcentral